Molecule: long non-coding RNA, 1059 nt
Organism: Photinus pyralis (common eastern firefly)
Lineage: Eukaryota; Metazoa; Arthropoda; Insecta; Coleoptera; Lampyridae
Exons: 3
Source: RefSeq, a predicted model, not a curated record
UCCUUACAAGUCAUAGACAUAAUUUUUUCUACUACUACAACGAAUUGUUGCGAAAUAUGUAAAAUUCCGACCAGAGUUAGUGGUAGACAAUCCACUAAUAGUUCUGUAUGCUGUGGGUAGGUAUAACAAAUCCAUGUGGCAUUUGAGCGACUCUCAUUAGUCUAAAUGACCCAGAACGAACGAUUCACUACACAUGCGAAAGAAAUGUCAAAGGUUUGUUCGUUGUAUUUCUGUUUAGCACAGACGUGUUUAGUAAUCGAAAAUGUACAUAUUACGGUUAAAGUAGACAUUUGGUAAAUGUGCACAUGUUAACACUACUCCCAUUUGUAUGUUAGUUUUCACGCUCCCCAAGGUAAUGCCUACUGAGGAAAUCUGUUCUGGUCCUGGAUCACCAACGACUUAUUGUUACCUGUUUGGAUGUUCUUUUCGUAUAGUGCUGUGAGGUAUAUUAAUUGUAGCGAUAUGCAACUUCACACGUUUGGUUGUAGGUAGGUAUAGCUACUCGUGGCUUAUGUUCUUAGGAAUGGACCUCAAGAUAAACACGUGGCUUAAGCUGUUGUGAGUGGACCUCAAGAUAAGACUUGUGAACAAAACGCUAAGUGUUUCGGGAUCUGAUGAGGAUUGGAUUGCUUUUUAAAAGGGCCUGCAACUUAGCGUAGCUGCUUGUGUCGACAUUAUUGUUCAAAAGUAAUUUAGAUCGUAACAUGGGAUACGUUUUGCACAAUGUUGUAGAUGCUUUAAUUGCCUGUGAUAAUAUAAGCCAACACUACGUUUUCUGAAAAUAAGUGUUUUUUCCUCAUCCCCCGCUCCAAAGAUUUGUCCCUACACUGCUUUUGAUUUUCCGAGAAGUAAUAAUGUUUUGGCAUUUUCUGCUGCCGCGGUGAUUUCCGGGGGAGUAUUUGAAAAUUGCAUUGGACCACCACUGCUGCUAAUUUGCGCUACAGGCAAUUAAAAUUCAAAAUAACUGGUAUGUCGCCACAUGUGCUCAUUCCAUCACAAGAGUUAGAAUGAAAUUAUUCCACUUCAGUAUAACAGAAUAGGCGACAUUCUGUUGUUAAA